UUUUUAUCAUAAACUUAGAAAUAACUUGGGAUUCAAAUUGAUGGAAGAAAAACGAUUGAUCCUUUUGAUUCAUCUAAUUACUACUUUUCUUGGCAAUUUCAUGUAUGAUUACAAAUUACUCAGUUUAGUUUCACGAUUAGAUUAAAUCAAAAUUGAUUAUGCCCAAUGUCUUGGUAACAUAAUCCUCUCCCUUGAUCAUCGAUUCCUAAUGUCUUAGGUAAUCUAUGAUCAAUUGAGGUUUACAAACUUUAAUAUUUUAAUCUCAAUUAACGAUCCGAAAUGUCUUAAGUGAAAGUUAAUUUAUCAAUCAUUCCUAGAUCAAUCAUUCAUUCCUAUCGUCAUAGUAAAACAAAUAAUUAAAAUCAUUACACAAUUGAUCAAGUCAUGCAAAGCAUUAAGCACAAAGAAUAAUUGAAGAAACUAACUUCGUAAUUCAUAUAUCAAUUCAUAUGAUAAUCACAUUGUUCAAGAAAAAUAACAAUUAGAAUCCCUAAAGACCAAUCAUUAAAAUUUAGCUAGACAUCUAUUACAAUAUAAGAAAACUAAUGACAAUGGUAAAAUCAGUUUUGCCCUUGCUUAAUAAAAUGCCACCUGUCCUUUUGAAGGGUAUUUUGAGUCCAAAAAUUAAGUAAUGGAACCAGAUAUGUGCCUAACCGAGCCAUAUUGCUGGCUAACUAAGCCAAAUAGCUAUUUUGUGAGACAAAAUACCACUUUAUUGCAAGCCAUGGUUCCACUUAAACUAUACCAAUUGGAUUUCAAUUGGUGGCUUUAUGUCACAUCACAAUUUUUCCUUUCAAAAAAGGACCAAAAAUUGAUUUUUCCCAAAACACUUUCUCUUUCUAUCAAACUUUCACCAGAUUUCAAUGUUGACCAAAUUCAAAAUUCAAAAUUUUUUUCCCCUCUUUCAUUUUUUCAAAAUUCUAUAUCAUCUUUAACACUUUUUUCAUUUCACAUUUCAUUCAUUUUCCUCUUCUUUAUCUGACUUUAUAUUUGUGCAUUACUUCUCUUCAUUUUUUUCCUAAUAUACAUUUUUGAAUAAAUCUCAUCUUAAUCUUCUUUGUCUAAUCAGAUGAAUUUUUUUUCUUUCAUGAAAGUUUAACAAUCAAACAGCAGCAGAGAUAAAUAAAAUAUAAAGAAAUAAGAGGAAUAACUUCAUUUUGGUAACUUUUUAUUAUCUUCUCAUCUUAACUUCAACUUUCUAACCAUUAAACUUGGUUUGGUUUUGCAGGAACAAUAUUGAUGUCCUUAUUUCUACAACAAACCACAAAGAAGGACAUGGGUAAGUAAAUAAUAAAAGUUUUAAUUUGAUAUAUUGAUUUUAUUUACCUUACUUUCCUUUUCGCACGGUUCAUUAUGUUAAAAAAGAAAUUUUUAUUUGAAAAAACAACUGGAAAAAUAUACUUGAUUAAAUUUGAGAAAUUGAAAAACAAAAUUAUUAUGAUUUUUUUUCCUUGAACUUCAUGACAGCCAAAUAAGUUCGUCUAGCGCGGGUAUGUAGACGAAACUCAUUUUCUUCACUAUAUUUAGUUUUGGUUACUGUUGUUGAUCCAUAUGAAUAAAUGUUUUGUUUUCACUAUAUUUAAAGGUUCAAGAUUAAAGAAAACUUUUUUUAAUAGUUUAAUUUUUUUUGUUUUGAUGUAUAAAUUCAUCAAAACUUUUUUUUAAUAAUGAAUCAAAAAUUUUGAGGACCGAUUUAUUUUGUAGGUCUCAAGAGUAUAAAUAUUGAAGGUGCAAGAUGAGAAAGAGAUGGUGAGGGAUAUGCCGUGAACAGAGACACAGUGGGUUGAGAUCUAGAAAAUUUGUUUUAACGUUAGAUGUAGAAAAAAAAAAUAUGUAACAAAAAAAAUUAGAAGAAAAAAAAAUCAACUAUUUCUCAUUCAUGAACUUAUUUUAUUUUAUUAGUUUUGAUUAUUUCACUUUUAGUUGUAUAGAAAAAGAAAGAAGAUGCAAAAUAAGAAAUAUAUAAAAAAAGAAAUAAAAUAAAAAUUACUACAGAGGCUAGAAAACAACAGAAACAUCUUUUCCUAUAAAUUUCCAAGAUCCAACAAAUAAAUAACAAAAAAAAUUAUAUAAUUACAGUAAUGAAAUCAUGGGAAAUAUAUUCAAAAGAUGAGCAUGACUUCUACAAACAAAGGACAAAAAAACAACUUACAAAGAAAAAGAAAUUCAAACCAGAUAUGAUUUUUUCCCCUUCUUUUGUUGUCUUUGAUUUUGUUCUUGGAUGUAAAAGUACACUGAAGAAGAUGAAGUCCCACAAUGUUUUCGGUAGGAUGGAGGAGAAGACAACAACACCAAACACAUAUUUUGGUCACGGUCACAGUGUUUACCGGCACGGUGGCCGCCGACGAAGGUGUUCUGAUCUUAAAUUUUCUUUGUGGGUAUUGUAAAGGAGAUGAAGGAGAUUAUUUAUAUGGUGGUGAUAUUUCAAAAGAUUUUCUAUGGAGGUCAAGAUCUAGGUGAGAAAGUGAUAAUUAAGAUUUAAAAAAAAAAUUGUGCAAAGGUGAAGAAAUGGAACAUGUUGGUCGUGAGAAGAAGAAGAGGAGAUGUUGAUGAAGGAGAGUUUAUGAUAUUGAAGGAAGAUGUUGGAAGAAAAAAAAAGAAAAAAAAAAGGGAAGGAAUGGAGCGGCUGNNN
This 2632-nucleotide long non-coding RNA is filed under the name Trifolium pratense (red clover). Its description in RNAcentral is "long non-coding RNA (TPRA_LNC007384)". The record is from RNAcentral. Lineage: Eukaryota; Viridiplantae; Streptophyta; Magnoliopsida; Fabales; Fabaceae.